Molecule: long non-coding RNA, 371 nt
Filed under: Macaca nemestrina (pig-tailed macaque)
Lineage: Eukaryota; Metazoa; Chordata; Mammalia; Primates; Cercopithecidae
Description: lncRNA (ENSMNEG00000045693.1)
Source: RNAcentral
CCUCCCACUGCCUGGAACUCUGCAUCUGAUGCUGUGGAUUCUGCCUCCACGCUUUUAGCGAGAGCAAACACUGGAGGAAAUUCACAGGUUUCAGCGUAAGACACGGAAGCCAUAUUACGGACAGUCGAGCUUCAGCAGCUCGACCCCUGUGUCCUGCCCAACAGACGUGGCGCCAUGGCCCCCAAACUCAUCACCCUCCUGUGUCUAGGAAUCUGCCUGCCUGCCAGGAUCUGCACACACGCAGGUGAGUCCUACCCCAGUCCGAGGAUACUGUGUUGCCCAAACACGAAGGGUUCUCCCAGGCAGGGAGGGCAGACGUGGAAUCGGGCAGAGGCAGAUGAUGUGGGGAGGGCUUUGCAGAGAGCCCUGGG